Molecule: transfer RNA, 87 nt
Filed under: Rickettsia prowazekii
Lineage: Bacteria; Pseudomonadati; Pseudomonadota; Alphaproteobacteria; Rickettsiales; Rickettsiaceae
Also listed under: 1 other name
Description: tRNA Ser (TGA)
Rfam family: tRNA
About the family: Transfer RNA (tRNA) molecules are approximately 80 nucleotides in length. Their secondary structure includes four short double-helical elements and three loops (D, anti-codon, and T loops).
Source: RNAcentral
GGAUAGGUGGCCGAGCGGUUUAAGGCACUAGUCUUGAAAACUGGCGUAUGGGCAACUGUACCGUGGGUUCGAAUCCCACCCUAUCCG